UACGUAGGGGGCAAGCGUUAUCCGGAUUUACUGGGUGUAAAGGGAGCGCAGACGGAACUGCAAGUCUGAUGUGAAAGCCCACGGCUUAACCGUGGAGGGUCAUUGGAAACUGGUCGACUUGAGUGCAGAAGAGGGAAGUGGAAUUCCAUGUGUAGCGGUGAAAUGCGUAGAGAUAUGGAGGAACACCAGUGGCGAAGGCGGCUUCCUGGUCUGUAACUGACACUGAGGCGCGAAAGCGUGGGGAGCAAACAGGAUUAGAUACCCCCGUAGUCCCU
This 275-nucleotide ribosomal RNA is filed under the name uncultured prokaryote. Its description in RNAcentral is "partial 16S ribosomal RNA". It matches the Rfam family "Bacterial small subunit ribosomal RNA", at positions 524 to 798 of the family's 1533-position model. The record is from RNAcentral.